GGGCGCUUGGUUUAGUGGUAUAAUAUGUCAUUCGCACCGCGAUUGCUGAUAAACACACACGCGCACACACGUGCGUGCGCGUAAGGCAUGCACGCUUUGACGGGGUCGCCGGUUCGAUUCCGGCAGCGUCCA
Molecule: non-coding RNA, 132 nt
Organism: Emmonsiellopsis sp. PD_5
Lineage: Eukaryota; Fungi; Ascomycota; Eurotiomycetes; Onygenales; Ajellomycetaceae
Source: the annotation of a GenBank genome assembly